AAAGUCCUGUCGUAGAAGGGGAACCGAUCCCACUAUGUAGUGAGUCUUGCGUUGACGUAGGUAACGAAAUCAACGAAGCGUAGACAACGAAAUUACCGAGCCGAAAUCCGAGAACGCAUAGGGUGAACGAAAUUAGCCCCGAAAGAACGAAGCGCGAGAGCAGAGGGUUUUGAACGGCCCGCAAGCAACAGAUAGAUACAGGAACUAAAUCGGGAACUCUGUAUCAAUCUCUCACCGGGGUUGUAAACGU
Non-coding RNA from Legionella longbeachae NSW150, 250 nucleotides. The record is from Rfam. NCBI's taxonomy places the organism in Bacteria, Pseudomonadati, Pseudomonadota, Gammaproteobacteria, Legionellales, Legionellaceae.